Molecule: ribosomal RNA, 2707 nt
Filed under: Enterobacter hormaechei
Lineage: Bacteria; Pseudomonadati; Pseudomonadota; Gammaproteobacteria; Enterobacterales; Enterobacteriaceae
Description: 23S ribosomal RNA
Rfam family: Bacterial large subunit ribosomal RNA
Source: RNAcentral
CACUAUCGUUAACUGAAUACAUAGGUUAACGAGGCGAACCGGGGGAACUGAAACAUCUAAGUACCCCGAGGAAAAGAAAUCAACCGAGAUUCCCCCAGUAGCGGCGAGCGAACGGGGAGCAGCCCGGAGUCUGAAUCAGCUUGUGUGUUAGUGGAACGGUCUGGAAAGUCCGACGGUACAGGGUGAUAGUCCCGUACACGAAAGCACACAUGCUGUGAACUCGAAGAGUAGGGCGGGACACGUGGUAUCCUGUCUGAAUAUGGGGGGACCAUCCUCCAAGGCUAAAUACUCCUGACUGACCGAUAGUGAACCAGUACCGUGAGGGAAAGGCGAAAAGAACCCCGGCGAGGGGAGUGAAAAAGAACCUGAAACCGUGUACGUACAAGCAGUGGGAGCCUCUUUAUGGGGUGACUGCGUACCUUUUGUAUAAUGGGUCAGCGACUUAUAUUCUGUAGCAAGGUUAACCGUAUAGGGGAGCCGAAGGGAAACCGAGUCUUAACUGGGCGUUAAGUUGCAGGGUAUAGACCCGAAACCCGGUGAUCUAGCCAUGGGCAGGUUGAAGGUUGGGUAACACUAACUGGAGGACCGAACCGACUAAUGUUGAAAAAUUAGCGGAUGACCUGUGGCUGGGGGUGAAAGGCCAAUCAAACCGGGAGAUAGCUGGUUCUCCCCGAAAGCUAUUUAGGUAGCGCCUCGUGAACUCAUCUUCGGGGGUAGAGCACUGUUUCGGCUAGGGGGCCAUCCCGGCUUACCAACCCGAUGCAAACUACGAAUACCGAAGAAUGUUAUCACGGGAGACACACGGCGGGUGCUAACGUCCGUCGUGAAGAGGGAAACAACCCAGACCGCCAGCUAAGGUCCCAAAGUCAUGGUUAAGUGGGAAACGAUGUGGGAAGGCACAGACAGCCAGGAUGUUGGCUUAGAAGCAGCCAUCAUUUAAAGAAAGCGUAAUAGCUCACUGGUCGAGUCGGCCUGCGCGGAAGAUGUAACGGGGCUAAACCAUGCACCGAAGCUGCGGCAGCGACNNNNUGCUGGAGGUAUCAGAAGUGCGAAUGCUGACAUAAGUAACGAUAAAGCGGGUGAAAAGCCCGCUCGCCGGAAGACCAAGGGUUCCUGUCCAACGUUAAUCGGGGCAGGGUGAGUCGACCCCUAAGGCGAGGCCGAAAGGCGUAGUCGAUGGGAAACAGGUUAAUAUUCCUGUACUUGGUGUUACUGCGAAGGGGGGACGGAGAAGGCUAUGUCAGCCGGGCGACGGUUGUCCCGGUUUAAGCAUGUAGGCGGAGGUUCCAGGUAAAUCCGGUACCUUAUUAACGCUGAGGUGUGAUGACGAGGCACUACGGUGCUGAAGUGAUAAAUGCCCUGCUUCCAGGAAAAGCCUCUAAGCAUCAGGUAACACGAAAUCGUACCCCAAACCGACACAGGUGGUCAGGUAGAGAAUACCAAGGCGCUUGAGAGAACUCGGGUGAAGGAACUAGGCAAAAUGGUGCCGUAACUUCGGGAGAAGGCACGCUGAUGUGUAGGUGAAGCCCCUGCGGGUGGAGCUGAAAUCAGUCGAAGAUACCAGCUGGCUGCAACUGUUUAUUAAAAACACAGCACUGUGCAAACACGAAAGUGGACGUAUACGGUGUGACGCCUGCCCGGUGCCGGAAGGUUAAUUGAUGGGGUUAGCGGCAACGCGAAGCUCUUGAUCGAAGCCCCGGUAAACGGCGGCCGUAACUAUAACGGUCCUAAGGUAGCGAAAUUCCUUGUCGGGUAAGUUCCGACCUGCACGAAUGGCGUAAUGAUGGCCAGGCUGUCUCCACCCGAGACUCAGUGAAAUUGAACUCGCUGUGAAGAUGCAGUGUACCCGCGGCAAGACGGAAAGACCCCGUGAACCUUUACUAUAGCUUGACACUGAACACUGGUCCUUGAUGUGUAGGAUAGGUGGGAGGCUUUGAAGCGUGGACGCCAGUCUGCGUGGAGCCAACCUUGAAAUACCACCCUUUAAUGGCUGGUGUUCUAACGUAGACCCGUUACCCGGGUUGCGGACAGUGUCUGGUGGGUAGUUUGACUGGGGCGGUCUCCUCCCAAAGAGUAACGGAGGAGCACGAAGGUUGGCUAAUCCUGGUCGGACAUCAGGAGGUUAGUGCAAUGGCAUAAGCCAGCUUGACUGCGAGCGUGACGGCGCGAGCAGGUGCGAAAGCAGGUCAUAGUGAUCCGGUGGUUCUGAAUGGAAGGGCCAUCGCUCAACGGAUAAAAGGUACUCCGGGGAUAACAGGCUGAUACCGCCCAAGAGUUCAUAUCGACGGCGGUGUUUGGCACCUCGAUGUCGGCUCAUCACAUCCUGGGGCUGAAGUAGGUCCCAAGGGUAUGGCUGUUCGCCAUUUAAAGUGGUACGCGAGCUGGGUUUAGAACGUCGUGAGACAGUUCGGUCCCUAUCUGCCGUGGGCGCUGGAGAAUUGAGGGGGGCUGCUCCUAGUACGAGAGGACCGGAGUGGACGCAUCACUGGUGUUCGGGUUGUCAUGCCAAUGGCACUGCCCGGUAGCUAAAUGCGGAAGAGAUAAGUGCUGAAAGCAUCUAAGCACGAAACUUGCCCCGAGAUGAGUUCUCCCUGAGACUUUAAGUCUCCUGAAGGAACGUUGAAGACGACGACGUUGAUAGGUCGGGUGUGUAAGCGCAGCGAUGCGUUGAGCUAACCGAUACUAAUGAACCGUGAGGCUUAACCUU